This 24-nucleotide non-coding RNA is filed under the name Mus musculus (house mouse). Lineage: Eukaryota; Metazoa; Chordata; Mammalia; Rodentia; Muridae. The record is from RNAcentral.
UACUAGUGACGAGGAGGAGGCAGG